Molecule: ribosomal RNA, 253 nt
Filed under: uncultured bacterium
Lineage: Bacteria
Description: partial 16S ribosomal RNA
Rfam family: Bacterial small subunit ribosomal RNA
Source: RNAcentral
UACGUAGGGAGCAAGCGUUAUCCGGAUUUAUUGGGUGUAAAGGGUGCGUAGAUGGAUAAGCAAGUUAGUUGUGAAAUCCCUCGGCUUAACUGAGGAAUUGCAACUAAAACUGUUAAUCUUGAGUACUGGAGGGGAAAGUGGAAUUCCUAGUGUAGCGGUGAAAUGCGUAGAUAUUAGGAAGAACACCGGUGGCGAAGGCGACUUUCUGGACAGUAACUGACAUUGAGGCACGAAAGUGUGGGGAGCAAACAGG